AUUGAACGCUGGCGGAAUGCUUUACACAUGCAAGUCGAACGGCAGCACGGACUUCGGUCUGGUGGCGAGUGGCGAACGGGUGAGUAAUGUAUCGGAACGUGCCCAGUCGUGGGGGAUAACGUAGUGAAAAUUACGCUAAUACCGCAUACGAUCUAUGGAUGAAAGCGGGGGAUCGCAAGACCUCGCGCGAUUGGAGCGGCCGAUAUCGGAUUAGGUAGUUGGUGGGGUAAAGGCCCACCAAGCCAACGAUCUGUAGCUGGUCUGAGAGGACGACCAGCCACACUGGAACUGAGACACGGUCCAGACUCCUACGGGAGGCAGCAGUGGGGAAUUUUGGACAAUGGGCGAAAGCCUGAUCCAGCCAUGCCGCGUGCAGGAUGAAGGCCCUCGGGUUGUAAACUGCUUUUGUACAGAACGAAAAGGUUUCUACUAAUACUAGGAGCUCAUGACGGUACUGUAAGAAUAAGCACCGGCUAACUACGUGCCAGCCGCCGCGGUAA
This 500-nucleotide ribosomal RNA is filed under the name uncultured bacterium. Its description in RNAcentral is "partial 16S ribosomal RNA". It matches the Rfam family "Bacterial small subunit ribosomal RNA", at positions 30 to 523 of the family's 1533-position model. The record is from RNAcentral.